This 253-nucleotide ribosomal RNA is filed under the name uncultured bacterium. RNAcentral describes it as "partial 16S ribosomal RNA". It matches the Rfam family "Bacterial small subunit ribosomal RNA", at positions 524 to 776 of the family's 1533-position model. The record is from RNAcentral.
UACGUAGGGGGCAAGCGUUGUCCGGAAUCAUUGGGCGUAAAGAGCGUGUAGGCGGCCCGAUAAGUCCGCCGUGAAAGUCCAGGGCUCAACCCUGGAAUGCCGCUGGAAACUGUCUGGCUAGAGUCCGGAAGGGGCGAGUGGAAUUCCUGGUGUAGCGGUGAAAUGCGCAGAUAUCAGGAGGAACACCUAUGGCGAAGGCAGCUCGCUGGGACGGUACUGACGCUGAGGCGCGAAAGCGUGGGGAGCGAACAGG